RNAcentral lists this long non-coding RNA (6029 nucleotides) under Capsicum annuum. RNAcentral describes it as "long non-coding RNA (CANN_LNC001601)". Lineage: Eukaryota; Viridiplantae; Streptophyta; Magnoliopsida; Solanales; Solanaceae. The record is from RNAcentral.
CAUCCACUAUAAACAAGACUAAACGUAGUUGUGCUAGGGUAAAAGUUCAAAUUGAUCUACUAUCAAAAAUUCCUGAUUAUUUGGAGCUUAAAAUUGGUAAUGAGAAAACAAAGAAAUCAAGAAUAGAAAAAAUUACUACCAAUUAUCAUUUCUUGUCUAAGUAUUGUAAAGAGUGCAAACUCCAAGGUCAUCGUGAAUCGGAGUGUAGAUUUCCACAUCCAGAUCUGAGACCAUCAUAUGAAGAAGAGAAAGUUAAGAAAGAUCAUAGCCAGAAUAUGGAUACUGGAGGUAGCAAGACAAGGUUUAAGGAUGGAAGAAGAAAUAGAUAAAAUUUACACUGGAAUCCUACCAGGUGCAGGCUUAUUAAUAAUGAUUUCUUAAGUGAAAAAGCAUUGACACAAAAGAAAUGAUUACCUGAUACUAAUCUUUUUAUUGCAUUGGGAGAAAUGGAGGAUGAAACUUUAAAAAAUAAUAAUCAGUCAACACUCUCACUAAUAUCAAAGUGGAAUACAAAGAAGAAAAAUAAUAAAUUAAGGACUGGGUGACCAAGUCUUUCCAUGAUCUGUCAUCUAAGAGAGUAAAAUCACUGAAAGAAUGACCUACCAGAGAAGAACAAGAAACUGAAACUCAAUUAGUAAAGUUAGACAAGGAGCAUAGUGUGGAAGUUACAGAUACAGAGGUGAAUCCUACAGCAAUAAUGAUUUAAAGGGAAGUAAAUUCUCAUACAGUGCAAUAAAAAUCUUUAGAUCAAUGAGCUAAUAUUAAAUCCUAGAGCUCAAUAGCAGUAAAAAAAUCAUUUGAUGUUGUGAAUCAAUUAAAGUAGUUUGAGUAGUCUCAAAGCCAAAGUAAAGGGUGAAGAGUAACUGUGAGAAUGUGAUAUCAACAAUAAUUUCAUCAUCUACAAGAUCAAAGGUGAAAGAAGGUCAACAGGAUAAUGAAAGGCAAAACAUAACCUCUAAUGAGGAGAAUUAGUUAGCUGUAGUGGACAUCCCUUUGGAUAUUCAUGAGUCUUUGGUUUAGGGUGUGACUCAACAUCAUAACUCUCUCCAUGUAUCAUAAUAUAGAAAUUAAUGAUGGAGUUAAGCGAAUUGAGGAUAAAUAAAUUAGUGGAAGUAGUGAGCAUGACAUAAUCAAGCAAGGGGAUUUAUCUCCCAGAGUAAUUAAGGAUAGUAAGGCUGGAAGGAAAUCAAAGAAGCUGAAUAAUGAAGAAGAUUCUAUACCUAUAAGAGUUCAACUGAAGAAGAGUGGCGUCUCAAAAUAAUCAAAGUACAAAUAAAGGCUUUAGUAUGGAAUAUCAGAUCUGUGUAAGUCACAAAAGGAUUUUCAAGGGUUCAAUUACUGCAUAAGUUUCAUAAGUUUGAUUUCAUUGCCUUAAUGUAGCCUUUUCAACAUAUAAGAACUAUCCAAAGGUACAAGAAUAGAAUACAUAUGCCUAUAGCUUAUUACAAUUAUUCAGGAAGGAUAUGAUUCUUUGUUAAUCAUGGUUUAAAUGGUAAUAUUAUCAGUGAUACAAAAUAAUAGAUAACAUGUCAUUUGACUGAUAUAACCACAGGUUUGCGUUUUCUAUUGACAGCUGUGUAUGCUAAAUAUGAUAUGUAUAAAAAAUUAGUGCUUUGGGACGAUCUACUUAUUGUUGCUAAUGCCAAUUCAAAACCUUUGGUAAUUGGGGGAGAUUUUAAUGUUGUUCUUAAUAGUGUUGAAAAAAUUGGAGGUAAUCUUGUGAUAUUUGUUGAUGUAGAAGAUUUUCAUCACUGUAAAGAAGUUUGUGGUAUUGUUCAAGUGAUUUAUAAGGGCAACCCUUUUACUUGAUGAAAUGGGAGAAGAGGAGCUGAUUGUACUUUUUAAUGGUUAGAUAGAGCCUUUGUUAACUCUGAAUUUUAAAAUUUGUUUUCACACUUAGAAAUAGAGCAUUUUCCAAGAGAUGGAUCAGAUCAUGUCCCUCUUUUUCUUAAAUAUGAAAAUAAUAAUACUACAAUUAAUAAACUUUUAGGUUUCUAAAUUCUUGGACCCUACAUAUAGAGUUUAAGGAAGUGGUUAGGAGUAGUUGGGAUACUAAUUAUCAGAAUAAUCCUUUUUCAGAUUUCAAAAAAAGAUCUAGCAAGUGAAAUAUGUUAUCUCUAAGUGGAGUCAACAAUUUUAUGGUGAUAUUAUUCAACAACUACACAUUUGAGAGAAAAUUGCUAGAAUAAAUGAGACGCUAUUUAAAUAUAAUCCUAUCUUGAGAAUCAGAUUGUUAUGUAGAAGGAAAAAGUUAAAUUUAUCAAAUAUCUUCAAAUAGAAGAGUGUUCUUAAAAACAGAAAGUAGGGUAUGACUGUUUGAAAGUGGGGACAUAAAUACCAACUUUUUUUAUAAUAUUAUCAAAGGAGGGAGAAAUAGGUUCAAGAUUUAUAGAAUAUUAAAUGAUCAGGUGAUCAAAUAGAUGAAGAGGCUAUUCAGUUUUUUAAGAAUAAAUUUACUCAAGAAAGAGAUACAACAACCUUCCCACUAAUUGAAUAUGUCCCUAAGUUGGUGAAUAAUGAAGAUAAUGAGAUACUACAAGCUAUUCCAGAAAAGGAAUAAACGAAGAAGGCAAUGUUUAAUUUGAAUGGAGAUAGUGCAAGUAAACCAAAUGGUUUAACUGGGACAUUUUAUUAGACAUUCUGAGAUAUAGUUGGUGAAUAUGUAGUCAGACCGGUAUUGAAAUUUUUUGUAGGAAAUUCACUCCCUAAAUCUAUUACUCACUCUAAUUUUGUUCUCAUUCCAAAAAUAUAUGAUAUUCAAUCUUUCUUAGAUUCGAGAUGAAUUAGCUUGAGGUAUUUUAUGAGUAAGAUUCUAUCCAUAAUUAUGCAUGACAAAUUGGAAAGCAUUCUUCCUAGAUUGAUCUCCCUAAUCAUUCAGGCUUUAUUAAAUGGAGAAGUAUCAUAGAGAAUGUUGUAUUAACACAGAAAUUGAUUGCAGAUAUUUGAAAAGAUGGAAAAACUUCUAAUGUAGUCAUGAAAUUAGAUAUGGCCAAAGCUUAUAAUAGAGUCUCUUAGUUCUUUCUAAUGAAAGUGAUGAGGAAGAUGGGGUUUGCUGACAAUGUUGUUGAUAUAAUUUGGAGAUUAAUUUCUAAUAAUUAGUACUACAUACUAUUGAAUGGUCAAUUAGUGUGUUUCUUUUAUUUAACUAUAGGGUGAAAAAAAGAGACCCUUUAUCUCCCACUUUGUUUAUUUUUUCAUCAGAAGUGAUGUCAAGGUUCUUUAAUCAUUUGUUUGAUGAUAUUUGGUUUACUGGUUAUGGAAUGCUUAAAUAGAGAUCCAAUUUGAAUCAUUAGUCUUAUGCAGAUGAUACAUUUACAUUCUCCACUCAUCAAUAUUCCUUGGAGAGUAUAAUGCAAGUGUUAAGAGAAUAUGAGACUAAAUCUGGCCAGAAGGUGAAUAUGAACAAAAGUUUCUUUUAUAUGCAUUAGAAAGCAUCAAUGGGUGAAGUUCAAAUAGUGGAACAGAUAUUGGUAUGAAAUAAGGCAGUUUUUCAAUUAAAUAUCUUGGUUGUCCUUUGACUCAUUCAAAGAGGAACAAAGAAUAUUUUGCAAAAUUAAUCAAAAUGGUUCAGAGCAAACUCCAAGCAUUGAAUAGAAUAUUAUUAUAUAGAGGGAAGGAGGUUCUAAUUAAAAGCAUUCUUCAAAGCAUACCUAUUUAUAUUCCUUUUUUCUCUAGGUCCUUCCAAAAGCUCAUCAAAUAUCUACAUAGGAUCUUUGCUAAAUUUUUUCGGAACAAUAAGGAAUCAGGAAGGGAAAAGCAUUGGGCCGCUUGGGAUAAUGUAUUUUACCCAAAAAUGAAGGGGGUUUGGAUUUUAGAUGUCUGAAAGAUAUCUCUUUGGAUUUAAAUGCUACACUAUGAUGGAGGUUUAGGAAUUAAAGAAAUCUGUGGGCAAACUUUUCAUGAAAUAAGUAUUGUAAAAAAUAAUUUCCUACCAUGGUGACCUUGAGAGGAGGAACACAAGUCUGGAAAUCCAUGUUGAAUGCUAGGGACAAGGUGGAAUAGUUUUUGUUGUGGGAACCUAAAAGUGUACAUCCGUAAUUUGUUUGAUAAUUAGACCAGUUCUGGUCCUCUAUUUAAACAACAAUCUAAUGUCUCUACAUAUUACCCUCUAAAAGACAAUGCAAUAUUUAUGAGGGAGGAUGGAUAUAAUUAUAAAGUUAUGGAGAAUGAGAUUUCGGAUAUCAUGGUGUAAUAGGUUGGGGACACUUAGGUUGUUUAUGCUAUAAUAAGGAGAUGGAUAAACUUUGGUGGACUAGAAAUAGCAAGGGUAUAUUUACUACUAAAAGUGCUUCGGAAUUAUUUAGGAACAAAGAAGAGGAGAAAGAAUAUUUGAAGUCCAUCUGGAUUAAAGAAGGCCUUUUAAAUAAUCCUUUAUGACUUGUAGUAUAUGGAACUCUUAUAUUCCAGUUGCAGUAGUCAUGCAUCAGUGGAAUUCUGAGAUUGAUGAAAGGUGUGGCUGUUGUACAGAACCACAAGUAGAAUCUAUUCAACAUCUAUUCCUCUAGGGAGAAGUAGCUGAAAUGGUAUGGAAUUUAUUCUGUAAUGCAGUUAGUAUUGUAGAGCAUAGACUAAAUUUGGUGUAGAGUGUCAAGCUAUGGAGGAAAGGGAAUGGCGAUCAUAAAUUUAUGACAGUGUUUUAUGUUGUUCUAUUGUUUAUGUUUUAGUUUCUAUGGAAAAGAAGGAAUACUAUAUUGCAUAAUGGUAGAUAUAAGGAUAGAAAUAUUACUUGGGACACUACUAAUUCUAUCAUUAGUUUAUCAAACUCAGAUUUCACAUGGAGUUGCAUGGAAAAAAUUGGGUUGAAAUUAUUUAUAUUUUGCAUAGUUAUGGAGAUUCAUACUUCUUAAAGUGAUUAAGUGAAAACCUUAAAAAACUGGCUGGUUUAAAGGCAACCUUGAUGGUUCCUCACAAGGAAAUCUAGGUCUAAUCUCCAUUGCUUUCUAUAUAGGAGAUAAUCUGGGAGAUCUAAUUGUUGCACAGGGGUGUAGAAUAAAGGAUAGAAAUAGUUUUAUGGCUGAGGCAUUAGCUAUACAAAAUUGUUUACAAUAUUGUUCUAUAAAUAAUCUAAGGCAGGUUAUUAUGGAAACAAAUUCUUGGAGCAUGUUCCAAAUACUGAAGGGUGAAUGGGAAGUCCCAUAGAGUGUGACAAUGGUGGUCAACUCCAUUUGAACUCUGAUGGAAUAUCUAAAAGUUAGAGUGAUAUAUUCCCUUAGGGAAGGUAACACUCUAGAUGAUUUUUUUUUGCUAAUCUAGUUUUUGUUUUUGUAGGUAAUUUUGAAUUCAAUAACAUUGCACAAUUUCUGAUUUAAGCAAGAACAAUAAUCCAAUUGGAAAAACUUGGAAUUCCUAAUAUUAGGAGGAUCAACAAGGCACAAGAAGAACAAACACCAAGUUGAUUCAAAAGGAAGAAAGGAUUUAAAUUUUCAUUUAAAAGGAUAGUCACAAGUAGAGAGAAGAAGUUAGAACAGUUACCUGUUGCUGGGAGUGAAUUCCACAAAACAUUCCACGUACGUCUAGUGAGAAUUUGGGAUGGUGAAGGCUAGAUAUUCAAAUAACAGUAGCAACAGAUCUACCAUGGACUUCGAUUUAGAAAUGAAUAGAUUAUCUAUAUGAAGAUGAGGAUUAAUAGUUUUAAAAAAUCCUUUAACUCAUUAAUUUAAUCAUUGUAGCUCAGGUGGUGGUAUCAGCUUCAAUUGAAGCAAAACCCAUCGAGCUACAUGAUUGAAGAACAUAAGAAAAAGGAUUGAGGUACUUAGAUGAGGCAAAUCAGUGAGGAUUUGAGCUAGAAACAACACAACAUCAUCGAUUUCAACAAGGGAUUUUCUUGGAUUUUAACAGCAGCGGAGGAUGAUGAAGAGUUGCUCUACUGUUGAUUUGAAAUGUGAUUAGGGUCUCUUGUUUCAUAAUUUGUUUAGCUUCUUUUGAUUUAGAUUGUCGGGUUGGGCCGGGACAAUUUUGGGCCUGAAUAUUGUGAAGAUUUGAUUUAUUUGGUUUUAAUAAAUAGGUUGAUGCCCGAAACUUUAAUUAAG